CCUACGGGUUGCAGCAGUGGGGAAUAUUGCACAAUGGGCGCAAGCCUGAUGCAGCCAUGCCGCGUGUAUGAAGAAGGCCUUCGGGUUGUAAAGUACUUUCAGCGGGGAGGAAGGCGAUAAGGUUAAUAACCUUGUCGAUCGACGUUACCCGCAGAAGAAGCACCGGCUAACUCCGUGCCAGCAGCCGCGGUAAUACGGAGGGUGCAAGCGUUAAUCGGAAUUACUGGGCGUAAAGCGCAUGCAGGCGGCCUGUUAAGUCAGAUGUGAAAGCCCGGGGCUUAACCUCGGAAUUGCAUUUGAAACUGGCAGGCUAGAGUCUUGUAGAGGGGGGUAGAAUUUCAGGUGUAGCGGUGAAAUGCGUAGAGAUCUGAAGGAAUACCAGUGGCGAAGGCGGCCCCCUGGACAAAGACUGACGCUCAGGUGCGAAAGCGUGGGGAGCAAACAGGAUUAGAUACCCCUGUAGUC
This 465-nucleotide ribosomal RNA is filed under the name uncultured bacterium. RNAcentral describes it as "bacterial SSU rRNA". It matches the Rfam family "Bacterial small subunit ribosomal RNA", at positions 338 to 795 of the family's 1533-position model. The record is from RNAcentral.